This 1154-nucleotide long non-coding RNA is filed under the name Coturnix japonica (Japanese quail). Its description in RNAcentral is "lncRNA (ENSCJPG00005002081.1)". Lineage: Eukaryota; Metazoa; Chordata; Aves; Galliformes; Phasianidae. The record is from RNAcentral.
AUUCAUAAUAUGCAUGAUGAAACAUAAUUUGUUUAAAGUACCACCAUAAAUUGGAGGCACUACAGUUUAAAGCAUUAAAAUUCCACGUUGAAUAUUUUUAAGGCUAAAUUUGGAUUUUAAGCAUCUCAGGCUUAGUGUUCCCAAUUAGAUAUAUCAGGAAAGAUACCAGUUUUCAGUUUUUGGAAAAGCUUUUUUUUUUUUUUUUUUUUUAAAUUUAUUUUUAUUAUUAUUAUUUGAGUUUCAAAAAACUAUCACAAAAGAUUAUUAGCUGGAUAAGAAAGCACAGGACACUGAAGGCAUGUGUAUUCCAUUAAAUCAAGAAUGGAGGAAAACUUAAUGUUUAACAAGUAAAGUGGUAGGAAUGCUUUUAGGAAACAAAUUUUCCAUCAUCUGGAACUAGAAAAAGAAACCUGUUUAGAUCAUGGAACAUAAUCUCCUAGCUGCAUUCAGUUUUAACAUGGAUGACCUGGGAAUCCAUCUGACAUGCCCAGUACAGGAUAGGGGAAUAUUUUUCUGCUCAAAUUCUAUUUGUUGCCAAUGUGAACAACUGAAUGAUGUUCCCCUGGACAUCAGAACACAAGAAAACAAACCAAAAUCCUGUUAGCAGUCCUUAUGAGCAUUUUUCUGUGUUUAAAAAAAUUUGCUAAAACUUUUUCAUAGAAAUAAUCUGACCAAGUGUAUAAAGCACAAUAGAAGAAAAUGGAGAAAAUACUUUCAGUUUCUCAUGGUGUAACAACUUCCUCAUGCACUUGUCAUUGCUCUUAUUGUCAGCUACGCAUGGCAGCUCCUCUCUUUCUUUUAGUCAUAUUUGUAUCAGCUCCAGAGGACAGCAUUCCAGACUUAAUGCUCCUUGAUGUAAGGAAAUGGAGAGAAGGAAACAGCAUUUGUUUGAAAAAGGCUACUGAAGGGUUGUUCAACAGUCUCUAACAAGAAAACAAAUGCCAGUGCCAGUAACAGAUCUCGCUGGAAACUUCAUGAGGAGCUCUGCUUUACCGAUCCUUGAGAUAACAGAGAUAUGUCACCUGCGUGCACUAUUUCCUUGUAUUCUGCCACCAUGUCACCAGUCCCUGACAGUAUCGUUCAACUCACUCUGACUUUAAAUAUUAUGUAUAUUUAGUGAUAGCAACAUCAAAUACCUGGGAGUCUUCUGGUGU